UAUUCUUUUAUGUUGUCAAUUUUUAAAAAUACCCCUUCUCUUGAACAAAAUGACCAAAUUACCUUUAUCUAAUAGGAACAUGUAAUUGGAAACUAAAAUUUUCCCGACAAAUUUUUGGCGGCAAAAUUUAUUUUUCCCGCCAAAAAAAAAU
RNAcentral lists this small RNA (151 nucleotides) under Arabidopsis thaliana (thale cress). RNAcentral describes it as "ATSL112930". The record is from RNAcentral. Lineage: Eukaryota; Viridiplantae; Streptophyta; Magnoliopsida; Brassicales; Brassicaceae.